This is a long non-coding RNA of Varroa destructor (honeybee mite), 456 nucleotides long. RefSeq lists it as uncharacterized. NCBI's taxonomy places the organism in Eukaryota, Metazoa, Arthropoda, Arachnida, Mesostigmata, Varroidae. The record is from RefSeq and is a predicted model, not a curated record.
AAGCCCUGAAAAGGAAAUAGUCAGUGCUGCCAGAUGAAUUUAAAGAGUCUCGAAGAGCGUCAUGGAUAUGUAUCGCGGCAUUAACAUUACGCAUUAUCGUUUCUCGGCGGUAAUCACUGCCUGGAUCAAGCAGAAUGGAAUAGACCUUCAAGUACAGCUUCAGUCCCCAUCGUUACAGCGAAUAUAUGUCCGACGUACACAUGUACAGACCUGGUAAUGACUUGAAAUGGUUAUCUUGCACCACAGGACGCGUAAGAAGCUCGUAGAUUCUGACAAUGGCAAUGGACCGAGAAUCGUAAACAGCACAAAUAUCUAAGAAUUGGUAAGUAUAAAGUUCUUCCGUAAGGUCACAUCAAGGUCAGGUUAGCGCCGAUAGGCGGAACGCGGGUCCGGGUUCCAGAACUGUUCAGUCACUGCGGGCAGUCAUUGCACUAACUGCGACCUUGGAACUACUUU